Molecule: unclassified non-coding RNA, 333 nt
Filed under: soil metagenome
Description: partial contains 5.8S ribosomal RNA, internal transcribed spacer 2, and large subunit ribosomal RNA
Rfam family: 5.8S ribosomal RNA (bases 1-120)
Source: RNAcentral
GAUGAAGAACGCAGCAAAAUGCGAUAAGUAAUGUGAAUUGCAGAAUUCGGUGAAUCAUCGAAUCUUUGAACGCACAUUGCGCCCGCCAGUAUUCUGGCGGGCAUGCCUGUUCGAGCGUCAUUUCAACCCUCAAGCUCAGCUUGGUGUUGGGACUCGCGGUAACCCGCGUUCCCCAAAUCGAUUGGCGGUCACGUCGAGCUUCCAUAGCGUAGUAAUCAUACACCUCGUUACUGGUAAUCGUCGCGGCCACGCCGUAAAACCCCAACUUCUGAAUGUUGACCUCGGAUCAGGUAGGAAUACCCGCUGAACUUAAGCAUAUCAAUAAGCGGAGGA